RNAcentral lists this ribosomal RNA (1006 nucleotides) under Salmonella enterica subsp. enterica serovar Kentucky. RNAcentral's name for it is "partial 23S ribosomal RNA". It matches the Rfam family "Bacterial large subunit ribosomal RNA", at positions 566 to 1554 of the family's 2925-position model. The record is from RNAcentral. Lineage: Bacteria; Pseudomonadati; Pseudomonadota; Gammaproteobacteria; Enterobacterales; Enterobacteriaceae.
UUUGCGACGCCCAACACACAAAACAAGCGGUGAGUGCUUUGGGGUGGGGUGACUGCGUACCUUUUGUAUAAUGGGUCAGCGACUUAUAUUCUGUAGCAAGGUUAACCGUAUAGGGGAGCCGAAGGGAAACCGAGUCUUAACCGGGCGUUAAGUUGCAGGGUAUAGACCCGAAACCCGGUGAUCUAGCCAUGGGCAGGUUGAAGGUUGGGUAACACUAACUGGAGGACCGAACCGACUAAUGUUGAAAAAUUAGCGGAUGACUUGUGGCUGGGGGUGAAAGGCCAAUCAAACCGGGAGAUAGCUGGUUCUCCCCGAAAGCUAUUUAGGUAGCGCCUCGUGAACUCAUCUUCGGGGGUAGAGCACUGUUUCGGCUAGGGGGUCAUCCCGACUUACCAACCCGAUGCAAACUGCGAAUACCGAAGAAUGUUAUCACGGGAGACACACGGCGGGUGCUAACGUCCGUCGUGAAGAGGGAAACAACCCAGACCGCCAGCUAAGGUCCCAAAGUCACAGUUAAGUGGGAAACGAUGUGGGAAGGCUCAGACAGCCAGGAUGUUGGCUUAGAAGCAGCCAUCAUUUAAAGAAAGCGUAAUAGCUCACUGGUCGAGUCGGCCUGCGCGGAAGAUGUAACGGGGCUAAACUGUGCACCGAAGCUGCGGCAGCGACGCUUAUGCGUUGUUGGGUAGGGGAGCGUUCUGUAAGCCUGCGAAGGUGUCCUGUGAGGGAUGCUGGAGGUAUCAGAAGUGCGAAUGCUGACAUAAGUAACGAUAAUGCGGGUGAAAAGCCCGCUCGCCGGAAGACCAAGGGUUCCUGUCCAACGUUAAUCGGGGCAGGGUGAGUCGACCCCUAAGGCGAGGCCGAAAGGCGUAGUCGAUGGGAAACGGGUUAAUAUUCCCGUACUUGGUGUUACUGCGAAGGGGGGACGGAGAAGGCUAUGUUGGCCGGGCGACGGUUGUCCCGGUUUAAGCGUGUAGGCUGGUUUUCCAGGCAAAUCCGGAAAAUCAAG